Molecule: long non-coding RNA, 1262 nt
Organism: Myotis daubentonii (Daubenton's bat)
Lineage: Eukaryota; Metazoa; Chordata; Mammalia; Chiroptera; Vespertilionidae
Source: RefSeq, a predicted model, not a curated record
GCGGCCUGGACGUGUGGACGCCAGUUCCUCGUCCUGGAUGUGCAGCUGCCCUGUGACAUCCAGCUCCAGCCUGGCCCAGAGCAGCUGCAAGGGGAGCUGUCUGAGCCCAACUCCCGACGCCCAGUCCCCAGCCCAGCCUCCAGGGAGCCCCUCAGCAGCCAAGAGCAUCAGCUGCAAAGCUCAGUCCUACAAAUGCAUCCCCGACUGACUGGACAGUGCCAUGGGCAGGCAAAGCCAAGCACUUCCACCUCAGGCACUCAGCCAGACCGGCUGCAGAGUCCAGACCAGCUCGCGUGAGAGUCCUAUCCACUGGAAGCUGCGGCUCCCGAAUGGCAUUUGCCUCAGCCCUGGGUCCUCCUCUGCUUGUUUACAACAUUCUUGGCUCAGGCCAGAGUCUAGGACAGUGAUGGCGAACCUAUGACAUGCGUGUCAGAGGUGACACGCGAACUCAUUUUUUUGGUUGAUUUUUCUUUGUUAAAUGGCAUUUAAAUAUAUAAAAUAAAUACCAGAAAUAUAAGUCUUUGUUUUACUAUGGUUACAAAUAUCAAAAAAUUUCUAUAUGUGACACGGCACCAGAGUUAAGUUAGGGUUUUUCAAAAUGCUGACACGCCGAGCUCAAAAGGUUCCCCAUCACUGGUUUAGGAAGAUUCCCUUAGAUCAAGCGUGAUGGGCUGUCAGGUUGCAGGGUUCAAGACUCAAAAAGGAGCUGCAGCUCAUGGAACCCUGUGGAUAUUUGGAUGGAAUGAGGGUGGAUAGUGGUUUCCUGGUUCCAUCCAGACCCCUGGGCACAUAAGUUACUGCCAGACAUAGGCUUUCUCCAGCAGUUGUUGAGACCCUGCUAGAGGCCAUGCCACACCCACCCUGAGGCCUGUGUGCUAUAUGAACUUUGAAUUUCAGCUGCAGAACACCCCCUCAGAAACACAUCCAGGCCUGCAGGUCACCACAUCUGUAACUGCACUAUUCAGUCCCGUUAAAACAGACUCCCAGUUUGGUAGUCAGCAGGGAAAACUCCUGUCUGCCAUCUCCCCUCUCCUGAGUAAAAACUUCAUGUUGAUAAGCACACAGGAAAUGGCAAGUCUAGGAUUUUAUUUACACAGACUCAAUUAUAGAUAAGGCGCUUUCUAGGAUCCAGAUGCCUUCCCUGGAAUUACUUGGCUUCAGGUUUCUUGUCCCCGGCUUCAAGCUUGAGACUCUCAGGGGGCUGGCGAUAGGCAGGGAAAGCCUCCCAUGGGCUAUUCAGGUCAAACUUGCGGAACUCUUGG